UCCUCGUUAGUAUAGUGGUCAGUAUCCCCUCCUGUCACGCGGGAGACCGGGGUUCGAUUCCCCGACGGGGAG
This is a non-coding RNA of Ixodes scapularis (black-legged tick), 72 nucleotides long. Lineage: Eukaryota; Metazoa; Arthropoda; Arachnida; Ixodida; Ixodidae. The record is from Rfam.